This 225-nucleotide ribosomal RNA is filed under the name uncultured bacterium. RNAcentral describes it as "partial 16S ribosomal RNA". It matches the Rfam family "Bacterial small subunit ribosomal RNA", at positions 124 to 334 of the family's 1533-position model. The record is from RNAcentral.
UACUACCUUUGGGUGGGGAAUAACAGCCGGAAACGGCUGCUAAUACCGCAUAAUGCAGCGGCACCACAUGGUGACAGUUGUUAAAGCGGGGGAUCGUAAGACCUCGCGCCUGAAGAGGAGCCUGCGGCGGAUUAGCUAGUUGGUAGGGUAACGGCCUACCAAGGCAACGAUCUGUAGCCGGCCUGAGAGGGCGGUCGGCCACACUGACACUGACAUACGGGUCAG